UACAGAGGUGGCAAGCGUUGUUCGGAAUUACUGGGCGUAAAGGGCGCGUAGGCGGCCUUCUAAGUCGGACGUGAAAUCCCCAGGCUUAACUUGGGAACUGCGUCUGAUACUGGGAGGCUUGAGUGCGGGAGAGGGAUGUGGAAUUCCAGGUGUAGCGGUGAAAUGCGUAGAUAUCUGGAGGAACACCGGUGGCGAAGGCGGCAUCCUGGACCGGCAUUGACGCUGAGGAGCGAAAGCUAGGGGAGCAAACAGG
RNAcentral lists this ribosomal RNA (253 nucleotides) under uncultured bacterium. RNAcentral describes it as "partial 16S ribosomal RNA". It matches the Rfam family "Bacterial small subunit ribosomal RNA", at positions 524 to 776 of the family's 1533-position model. The record is from RNAcentral.